UAAGUCGAAAGACGAUGUAUAGGGGCUGACGCCUGCCCAGUGCUGGAAGGUUAAGAGGAUGGCUUAGUAUAUGAAGUAAUUCAUUAUAACGAAGGUUUGAAUUGAAGCCCCAGUGAACGGCGGCCGUAACUAUAACGGUCCUAAGGUAGCGAAAUUCCUUGUCGGGUAAAUUCCGACCCGCACGAAAGGCGUAAUGAUCUGGGAACUGUCUCAACCAUAGACUCGGUGAAAUCUUAAUACCUGUGAAAAUGCAGGUUACCCGCGACAGGACGGAAAGACCCCGUGGAGCUUUACUGUAGCUUGAUAUUGGGAUUCGGUAUGUUAUGUAGAGGAUAGGUGGGAGACUAUGAGACUAAGACGUCAGUUUUAGUGGAGUCAACCUUGGAAUACCACCCUUAACAUAUUGAAUUUCUAACUUAGAAUCAUAAUCUGGUUCAAGGACAGUGUCUGGUGGGCAGUUUGACUGGGGCGGUCGCCUCCUAAAAAGUAACGGAGGCGCCCAAUGGUUCCCUCAGAAUGGUUGGAAAUCAUUCAAAGAGCGUAAAGGUAUAAGGGAGCUUGACUGCGAGACUUACAAGUCAAGCAGGUACGAAAGUAGGGCUUAGUGAUCAGGCGAUUCAGUAUGGAAUGGUCGUCGCUUAACGGAUAAAAGUUACCCCGGGGAUAACAGGCUGAUACCACCCAAUAGUUCAUAUAGACGGUGGUGUUUGGCACCUCGAUGUCGGCUCGUCACAUCCUGGAGGUGGAUUCGCUUCCAAGGGUUCGGCUGUUCGCCGAUUAAAGUGGCACGCGAGCUGGGUUCAGAACGUCGUGAGACAGUUCGGUCCCUAUCCGUCGUGGGCGUAGGAAAAUUGAGGAGAGCUGAUUCUAGUACGAGAGGACCGAAUCGGACAUACCUCUGGUGUAUCUGUUGUCACGCCAGUGGCAGCGCAGAGUAGCUAUGUAUGGAAUGGAUAACCGCUGAAAGCAUAUAAGCGGGAAGCCAACUUCAAGAUGAGUUUUCCCAUUUUUAAUAAAGUAAGUUCCCUCAAAGACGAUGAGGUUGAUAGGUUAGAGGUGGAAGCAUGGCAACAUGUUGAGCUGACUAAUACUAAUAGAACGAGGAUUUAAUCCCAUA
Molecule: ribosomal RNA, 1117 nt
Filed under: Ignavibacteria bacterium
Lineage: Bacteria; Pseudomonadati; Ignavibacteriota; Ignavibacteria
Description: partial 23S ribosomal RNA
Rfam family: Bacterial large subunit ribosomal RNA
Source: RNAcentral